This 253-nucleotide ribosomal RNA is filed under the name uncultured bacterium. Its description in RNAcentral is "partial 16S ribosomal RNA". It matches the Rfam family "Bacterial small subunit ribosomal RNA", at positions 524 to 776 of the family's 1533-position model. The record is from RNAcentral.
GACGUAGGGGGCCAGCGUUGUUCGGAAUUACUGGGUGUAAAGGGUUCGUAGGCGGUGCGGCAAGUUGGGAGUGGAAUCUCUGGGCUUAACCCAGAGGCUGCUUCCAAAACUGCUGUGCUUGAGUGUGGGAGAGGCGCGUGGAAUUGCAGGUGUAGCGGUGAAAUGCGUAGAUAUCUGCAGGAACACCCGUGGCGAAAGCGGCGCGCUGGACCACUACUGACGCUGAGGAACGAAAGCUAGGGGAGCAAACAGG